CAAGCGGUGGAGCAUGUGGUUCAAUUCGACGCAACGCGAAGAACCUUACCUGGGCUCGAACGGCUUAGGACAAAGGGUGGAAACAUCCUUUUCCCGCAAGGGACCUGAGUCGAGGUGCUGCAUGGCUGUCGUCAGCUCGUGUCGCGAGAUGUUGGGUUAAGUCCCGCAACGAGCGCAACCCUUGUCCUGUGUUGCCAUCAUUUAGUUGGGAACUCUCAGGAGACCGCCAGCGAUAAGUUGGAGGAAGGUGGGGAUGAUGUCAAGUCAUCAUGGCCUUUAUGUCCAGGGCUACACACGUGCUACAAUGGGCGGUACAAAGCGCUGCAAACCCGCGAGGGGGAGCUAAUCGCAAAAAACCGUCAUCAGUUCGGAUCGCAGGCUGCAACUCGCCUGCGUGAAGCUGGAAUCGCUAGUAAUGGCGUAUCAGAAUGACGCCGUGAAUACGUUCCCGGGCCUUGUACACACC
This 466-nucleotide ribosomal RNA is filed under the name uncultured bacterium. RNAcentral's name for it is "bacterial SSU rRNA". It matches the Rfam family "Bacterial small subunit ribosomal RNA", at positions 926 to 1391 of the family's 1533-position model. The record is from RNAcentral.